RNAcentral lists this ribosomal RNA (1386 nucleotides) under Streptomyces sp. NRRL WC-3704. RNAcentral's name for it is "bacterial LSU rRNA". It matches the Rfam family "Bacterial large subunit ribosomal RNA", at positions 1557 to 2925 of the family's 2925-position model. Lineage: Bacteria; Bacillati; Actinomycetota; Actinomycetes; Kitasatosporales; Streptomycetaceae. The record is from RNAcentral.
UGAGACCUGAUGCCGAGCCGAUUGUGGUGAAGUGGAUGAUCCUAUGCUGUCGAGAAAAGCCUCUAGCGAGUUUCAUGGCGGCCCGUACCCUAAACCGACUCAGGUGGUCAGGUAGAGAAUACCGAGGCGUUCGGGUGAACUAUGGUUAAGGAACUCGGCAAAAUGCCCCCGUAACUUCGGGAGAAGGGGGGCCAUUCCUGGUGAUGGGCUUUACGUCUUGAGCUGGGGGUGGCCGCAGAGACCAGCGAGAAGCGACUGUUUACUAAAAACACAGGUCCGUGCGAAGCCGUAAGGCGAUGUAUACGGACUGACGCCUGCCCGGUGCUGGAACGUUAAGGGGACCGGUUAGCUCCAUUUCGGUGGGGCGAGGCUGAGAACUUAAGCGCCAGUAAACGGCGGUGGUAACUAUAACCAUCCUAAGGUAGCGAAAUUCCUUGUCGGGUAAGUUCCGACCUGCACGAAUGGCGUAACGACUUCUCGACUGUCUCAACCAUAGGCCCGGUGAAAUUGCACUACGAGUAAAGAUGCUCGUUUCGCGCAGCAGGACGGAAAGACCCCGGGACCUUUACUAUAGCUUGAUAUUGGUGUUCGGUUCGGCUUGUGUAGGAUAGGUGGGAGACUGUGAAGCUAUGGCGCCAGCCGUGGUGGAGUCGUCGUUGAAAUACCACUCUGGUCGUGCUGGAUGUCUAACCUGGGUCCGUGAUCCGGAUCAGGGACAGUGUCUGGUGGGUAGUUUAACUGGGGCGGUUGCCUCCUAAAGAGUAACGGAGGCGCCCAAAGGUUCCCUCAGCCUGGUUGGCAAUCAGGUGUUGAGUGUAAGUGCACAAGGGAGCUUGACUGUGAGACCGACGGGUCGAGCAGGGACGAAAGUCGGGACUAGUGAUCCGGCGGUGGCUUGUGGAAGCGCCGUCGCUCAACGGAUAAAAGGUACCCCGGGGAUAACAGGCUGAUCUUCCCCAAGAGUCCAUAUCGACGGGAUGGUUUGGCACCUCGAUGUCGGCUCGUCGCAUCCUGGGGCUGGAGUCGGUCCCAAGGGUUGGGCUGUUCGCCCAUUAAAGCGGUACGCGAGCUGGGUUUAGAACGUCGUGAGACAGUUCGGUCCCUAUCCGCUGUGCGCGUAGGAGUCUUGAGAAGGGCUGUCCCUAGUACGAGAGGACCGGGACGGACGAACCUCUGGUGUGCCAGUUGUCCUGCCAAGGGCAUGGCUGGUUGGCUACGUUCGGAAAGGAUAACCGCUGAAAGCAUCUAAGCGGGAAGCCUGCUUCGAGAUGAGGGCUCCCUCCCCCUUUGAGGGGUUAAGGCUCCCAGUAGACGACUGGGUUGAUAGGCCAGAUAUGGAAGCCUGGUAACGGGUGGAGUUGACUGGUACUAAUAGGCCGAGGGCUU